This 454-nucleotide long non-coding RNA is filed under the name Ursus americanus (American black bear). RNAcentral describes it as "lncRNA (ENSUAMG00000012127.1)". The record is from RNAcentral. Lineage: Eukaryota; Metazoa; Chordata; Mammalia; Carnivora; Ursidae.
UGGGGCCUCAGAAUUUCUGCAGUCUCUGGGAAGGAAGGGUUGGGCGUCCGCCCACACAACUGUUCCGCCAAAUACCACCGUUCAAAGUCCUCCAGGUAGAGAGAGAAUCGACAAGACAUGGGGCUGGCAGAGUGGGGCCUCUGCUGAUGCUGAAGAACUGGGUUCUAAAGAGCUGUGAGCCAGUCAUCUGGUGGGGACGACGCUGCCAGGCCCGUAAGGCUUCAGCAAUCACGGACGACAGAAGCAGCAGCCAACUCCCACAGUCUGUGGGGGUCAAGAUGACUUGAUCGACAGGAUCCUUCUCUGACAAAUCACCUAAAGGAAGAGAUAAGCUUGGCACAAUGAGGUUUUGAUGAAAGAGAAGAUAAAGGUUUGGGGUAAAAAAAGUUUGACUAUUUCAUUAAAAUGCAUCUAAGUGCUUACUCAUUUGUAUUUUAAAAUACCUAUAGCAAGG